AAUUCCAGCUUUGGGUGUUGGUGGUGAGGUUUAAUGUCUCUUCCUUGA
This 48-nucleotide transfer RNA is filed under the name Stenella attenuata (bridled dolphin). RNAcentral describes it as "partial tRNA-Pro". Lineage: Eukaryota; Metazoa; Chordata; Mammalia; Artiodactyla; Delphinidae. The record is from RNAcentral.